This 492-nucleotide ribosomal RNA is filed under the name uncultured bacterium. RNAcentral describes it as "partial 16S ribosomal RNA". It matches the Rfam family "Bacterial small subunit ribosomal RNA", at positions 29 to 507 of the family's 1533-position model. The record is from RNAcentral.
AGUGAACGCUGGCGGUAGGCCUAACACAUGCAAGUCGAACGGCAGCACAGUAAGAGCUUGCUCUUACGGGUGGCGAGUGGCGGACGGGUGAGGAAUACAUCGGAAUCUACUUUUUCGUGGGGGAUAACGUAGGGAAACUUACGCUAAUACCGCAUACGACCUACGGGUGAAGGCAGGGGAUCUUCGGACCUUGCGCGAUUGAAUGAGCCGAUGUCGGAUUAGCUAGUUGGCGGGGUAAAAGCCCACCAAGGCGACGAUCCGUAGCUGGUCUGAGAGGAUGAUCAGCCACACUGGAACUGAGACACGGUCCAGACUCCUACGGGAGGCAGCAGUGGGGAAUAUUGGACAAUGGGCGCAAGCCUGAUCCAGCCAUACCGCGUGGGUGAAGAAGGCCUUCGGGUUGUAAAGCCCUUUUGUUGGGAAAGAAAAGCAGCAGGUUAAUACCCCGCUGUUCCGACGGUACCCAAAGAAUAAGCACCGGCUAACUUCGUG